RNAcentral lists this ribosomal RNA (644 nucleotides) under Salmonella enterica subsp. enterica serovar Muenchen. RNAcentral describes it as "partial 23S ribosomal RNA". It matches the Rfam family "Bacterial large subunit ribosomal RNA", at positions 1 to 678 of the family's 2925-position model. Lineage: Bacteria; Pseudomonadati; Pseudomonadota; Gammaproteobacteria; Enterobacterales; Enterobacteriaceae. The record is from RNAcentral.
GGGUUGUGAGGUUAAGCGACUAAGCGUACACGGUGGAUGCCCUGGCAGUCAGAGGCGAUGAAGGGCGUGCUAAUCUGCGAUAAGCGCCGGUAAGGUGAUAUGAACCGUUAUAACCGGCGAUACCCGAAUGGGGAAACCCAGUGUGAUUCGUCACACUAUCAUUAACUGAAUCCAUAGGUUAAUGAGGCGAACCGGGGGAACUGAAACAUCUAAGUACCCCGAGGAAAAGAAAUCAACCGAGAUUCCCCCAGUAGCGGCGAGCGAACGGGGAGGAGCCCAGAGCCUGAAUCAGCAUGUGUGUUAGUGGAAGCGUCUGGAAAGGCGCGCGAUACAGGGUGACAGCCCCGUACACAAAAGCGUAUGUGCUGUGAGCUCGAUGAGUAGGGCGGGACACGUGGUAUCCUGUCUGAAUAUGGGGGGACCAUCCUCCAAGGCUAAAUACUCCUGACUGACCGAUAGUGAACCAGUACCGUGAGGGAAAGGCGAAAAGAACCCCGGCGAGGGGAGUGAAAAAGAACCUGAAACCGUGUACGUACAAGCAGUGGGAGCACCCUUUGGGGUGUGACUGCGUACCUUUUGUAUAAUGGGUCAGCGACUUAUAUUCUGUAGCAAGGUUAACCGAAUAGGGGAGCCGGAGGGAAACC